UAAUACGUAGGAGGCGAGCGUUGUCCGGAUUUACUGGGCGUAAAGCGCGCGCAGGCGGCACACUAAGUACGAUGUGAAAUCUCCCUGCUCAACGGGGAGGGUGCAUAGUAAACUGGUGAGCUAGAGGACGGUAGAGGGGGGUGGAAUUGCUGGUGUAGCGGUGAAAUGCGUAGAGAUCAGCAGGAACACCCGUGGCGAAGGCGGCCCCCUGGGCCGAACCUGACGCUGAGGCGCGAAGGCUAGGGGAGCGAACGGGAUUAGAUACCCCGGUAGUCCUAGCAGUAAACGAUGGCCACUAGGUGUGGGGGGUGUUGACCCCUUCCGUGCCGAAGCUAACGCAUUAAGUGGCCCGCCUGGGGAGUACGGUCGCAAGACUA
Molecule: ribosomal RNA, 377 nt
Filed under: uncultured bacterium
Lineage: Bacteria
Description: bacterial SSU rRNA
Rfam family: Bacterial small subunit ribosomal RNA
Source: RNAcentral